Long non-coding RNA from Lycium barbarum (goji berry), 636 nucleotides. RefSeq lists it as uncharacterized. The transcript has 3 exons. The record is from RefSeq and is a predicted model, not a curated record. NCBI's taxonomy places the organism in Eukaryota, Viridiplantae, Streptophyta, Magnoliopsida, Solanales, Solanaceae.
CAAUAUUUUACAAACAGAAAAGGAAAAGCAAACUAAAACAACAAAACUAGCAACUCAGACAACAAGCCCAAAGUGAAAAGCUAAGAUUAGGAAAGUGCAGACUGGUAGCUCAUCAAUCAGAUCUAACACUUCCAGUAUCCAAUUCAUGAAUCUCAGAAAUCACUGGAACUGAUGAAAGGUUCUCCUUCUGGAUGGGAUUAUUUUGUGCAGUUGAUCCAUGUCUGGCCAUCCAUAGGAAAAUUUCCCCACCACAGUAUGUUGCAGAUUCUGCAGAAUUUCCAUGCGAGACACUUCAUUCUCCGUCCACUUGACAUAUGAAGAUCCAUGUAGAAAGGAGAUCUUCUUCAUUUCAAUAGGUUGAACUGCAUGUUUUGGAUUCUGAAUAGUUGUAUUUAGAUGCGAAGGUUUCAAAAGACUAGCAUAUUGAAUUUUGUUCUCAUUAUGAGUCACCCCCUCCUUUAGUGUAGUCGUAGUGAUUUGCUGGUCAAUCUCUCCGGUGGACUAACCAGCAGCCACGGAGGCCAUAGGCGAUUAGGUUGAAAAAAUUAAGUUUUGCAUGAAAAUAGGAGGUGAGAGAAGAGAGAAAUUUUGGUAAAUUUCUUGGUAAGUUUAUUCGAUUCUCUCACAAAAUAUGAC